CUUCUUUCUCCAUGUGCAGUGCACGCACAGAGUUGCAGAAAUUGAGCUGAAGAAAAUGCCCCCUAAGGCUAAAGAGAAGUCGAAGCCGGCCGCCGCCCCGGCCGCCGCGGUGGCCAUUGAAGAUCUCUUCACAUCCCUGAAUCGCCACAUUCAACGGUCCGAAUUCGACCUGGCCGUUAAAGUCUCCGAUCAAGUUCUUUCGAUUGCGCCGGGGGAUGAGGAUGCAAUUGGAUGCAAAAUUGUGGCUUUGAUUAAGAAUGAUAACAUCGAAGAAGCUUUAUCAGCAAUUCAAGACUUUUCGAAGAAAUCGUCGGUUGAUUUCAGUUUCUUCAAUGCAUACUGCUUCUACCGGCAAAAUAGGUUGGAUGAAGCUUUGGAGACCUUGAAAGGACAAGAAGAAAAUUUUGCAAAUAUGUUGUUGCAGUCGCAGAUUUUAUUUCGUCUAGGAAAGAUGGGUGCUUGUGUGGAUAUAUAUCAAAAACUUCAGAAGUCCAAGAUAGAUUCUUUAGAAAUAAAUUUUGUUGCUGGCUUGGUUUCUGCUGGGAGGGCUUCAGAAGUGCAGGGGACACUGGAUUCUCUCAGAGUUAAACCAACAAGCAGUUUUGAGCUGGCAUAUAAUGUUGCUUGCUCUUUGAUAGAAAGAAAUAUGUAUAAAGAUGCAGAACAACUGCUGCUGUCAUCUCGAAGAAUUGGUCAGGAGACACUAGUGGAAGAGAAUUUAGCUGAUGAUGACAUAGAAAUUGAAUUGGCCCCUAUAGCUGUUCAGUUAGCAUAUGUUCAACAGAUUCUUGGAAGAACUCAAGAAGCUUUUGAAACAUAUUCUGGCAUUAUCAAGAAAAAUCUGGCGGAUGAAUCAUCACUUGCUGUGUCAGUAAGCAACCUUAUAGCAUUAAAGGGUCCCAAGGAUGUGUCUGAUGGCUUAAGAAAACUUGAUAAGCUGAUAGAGAAAGGUGAAGGACCUCUCACCUUCCAGCUUGCUAGGGGUCUUGACCUAAAGCUCUCGCUGAAGCAAAGAGAAGCCAUUUAUGUUAAUCGUCUGUUAUUGCUUGUUCACUCUAACAAGCUAGAUCAGGCCAGAGAACUUGCUUCUGCACUUCCUGGCAUGUUUCCAGAAAGUGUUAUGCCAGUGCUUCUUCAAGCUGCAGUGCAUGUAAGAGAGAACAAAGCCAAUAAAGCAGAGGAGUUGUUAUGGCAGUUCGCAAAUAAGUAUCCCCAUAAGUCUAAGGUCAUCCUGCUUGCAAGGGCUCAGGUUGCUGCAGCUGCAGGCCAUCCCCAAAUAGCAGCUGAGUCUCUGCUAAAAAUUCCAGAUAUUCAACAUAAGCCUGCAACUGUUGCCACCCUCGUCUCACUCAAAGAACGUGCUGGAGAUAUUGAUGGUGCAGAUGCAGUGUUGGAUUCUGCUAUACGGUGGUGGUCUGAUGCCAUGACCGAAGACAAUAAGCUUGAUGUUAUCAUGCAGGAGGCCGCUUCGUUUAAGCUCAGGCAUGGAAAGAAGGAUGAGGCUGCUCGUCUCUACGAGGAGCUUGUAAAAAGCCAUGGGAGCAUGGAGGCUUUGGUUGGCCUUAUUCAGACUGCUGCUCAUACAGAUAUUGAAAAGGCUGAAUCUUAUGAGAAGCAGUUGAAACCUAUACCUGGUCUGAAAGGGAUCGAUGUUGAGAGUUUGGAGAAAACUUCUGGUGCAAAGCACACCGAGAAGGGUCCCACUGCGGGCGUUGCUGAAGCAUAUGAACCAAAGAAUAAGGAGAAAACAAAGAAGAAAAGAAAGAGAAAACCAAAGUACCCAAAAGGCUUUGACCCUGCAAAUCCAGGUCCUCCUCCAGAUCCAGAAAGGUGGCUGCCGAAGAGGGAGAGAUCUAGUUAUAGACCGAAGAGAAAGGAUAAGAGAGCAGCUCAAAUCAGGGGCUCUCAGGGUGCAGUUGUUAAAGAGGCUGAUAACAAUGUCAAUGCAAAGUCGACCCAAGCAGCUAGCUCUAAAGGGAACUCUCAGAACGCUAGCAUGGUGCACUCCAAGCAUUCAUCAAAAUCCAGGAAGAAAUCCAGGAAUUAAUUUCUGAGGAACCUCAUGCUUUGCCCUUAUAUUCUGAAUUUUGAUGUAGCUGUCAUUCAAAAACUGAGUGAAGAGAAAUGGAAGAAAACUACUAUUGUGGGCGUGGAUCAGUGAAGAAAACAUCAUGAACGGACUUGAAUCCAAAUCGAAGAUAUGCUACUUGUGAUAGAUUUCCGAAAGUGGGAGGUUGCAGCUUCUUUUCUUGGCUUGAUUUACAAAUGUGUGACCGGUAGCAACAAAUUAUUCCGAGCCCACUUAGAAGGAUCAACCGACUUGAAGAUGAAGGGAAAAAAAGAAGAAAGAAGGAGAAAUGUUUGUGGGGGGCAUUGUGUUGUAGCUUGCUUUUAUGAUGUAUUAAUUAAGGUUGUGUUGGAAAUUUUUAAAUUUUGGCAUUGUUGUAUAAGAAUAUUUGUCUAUGUAUGAAGCUUAUUGAAUUUGAA
Sesamum indicum (sesame) is the source of this 2487-nucleotide RNA transcript. RefSeq lists it as uncharacterized. Lineage: Eukaryota; Viridiplantae; Streptophyta; Magnoliopsida; Lamiales; Pedaliaceae. The record is from RefSeq and is a predicted model, not a curated record.